RNAcentral lists this long non-coding RNA (1201 nucleotides) under Sinocyclocheilus grahami. RNAcentral describes it as "lncRNA (ENSSGRG00000024848.1)". The record is from RNAcentral. Lineage: Eukaryota; Metazoa; Chordata; Actinopteri; Cypriniformes; Cyprinidae.
GCAUGCGAGCACUUUUUCAUAAGACAGCUUCACUGAACAACAGACAAAGAAUUACAUGCAUUCCUUCCAACAUCCGAUCACAUUAUGGGUGGUAAGAAGGAGCUGUGAGCCAUAGAUAAACCAUUGAAAAAUGCAGCUCCCUCUCGCUUCCCCUGUGUCGCAGUGAUGGUGGACUAUGGGUAUUUUCACGAUUGCAGCUCUCCUCUGACAUUUGGAGCGGCGUGACCACCGCACGUCCCACUGACUCACGGAUUUGAGCAGAUGUCUGGUCCAGUACCGGCACCGGGCCACCUCCUCUGCGAACACUAAUGGCUGGUCGUGUAGAGGGAAUCUGGAGAGAUUUGCACAGAUUAAGCUGCAGCAUCCUGCGCCCCGGAGAGAGGAGGAGAAGAUGCUCGAGCACACAUGCGUCUGGAGGGAUGCGGGGCACUAAACUCUCAUCUAUAGCAAUAUUCCUACUUUUAUUACACAGCGCGCAGGCUUCCGACGAUGACUUGAGUCAUGAAGCCUCUGGAUCAUUUUUGGAUGUGGCCACCUCACCCGCCUCAACCCAUUUGUUUGGCAGCUUCCAUAUGACAAACAGGAAUCCAGCUUCUGUAGUUCAGUCAGAUCGCACAGGCUCGUCAAAGGGUAGCAGGGAACAACCUGAAUUUUCCUCUAUACUCACAUUACUUGCCAGCACGGCACAAAAGCCUCCUAAACUCUUGUUAAAAGUUAUUGCACGUGACAAUGAAACACAUCAAUGGCCUUCAAAUGUAUCUUCGGAACGAGUGGAGCCAUUUACUCUUCCAUCGUCUGUGCUGGUCAGCAACCAGUCCUCCAAAUCAGAGUUUGAGGGGAUAUCUGAGCUUGUGGCACCUGCGGCCACAUCCAGAGCUGCAGACCCUCUUCAUAAAGCCAGUGAUUCUAACAGAUAUUCACCUGAGCAGAGAAACACUGCUGCAUCCAAUAGAUCUUCGGCUACAGCUGUGAACAACACACAACGAGAACGUCCAGCCAUUACAACCACUACUGUAUCUCAGCCUACAAUAUUUAACAGCAAUACUGUCACCACAGCCAGCAUCCCCUUUACGAAAACCACAAAUCAGAUUAGCUCUACCCAAUCAUCUGCUGCUAAACGACACUCCAAAACACCUAGGACAACUAUCAGAACUACAACUACAGAAUCUCCAAAGACAACACCUAGAAUCCUUCCUGUCUC